This is a non-coding RNA of Phrynosoma platyrhinos (Desert horned lizard), 76 nucleotides long. The record is from the annotation of a GenBank genome assembly. NCBI's taxonomy places the organism in Eukaryota, Metazoa, Chordata, Lepidosauria, Squamata, Phrynosomatidae.
GGCUGAGAGCUUAAUGCAGUGGUUUGAGCAUUAGACUACAGCUCUGAAGACCAGGGUUCAAAUCCCAGCUGAGCCG